GUCUAUGGCCAUAUCACUCUACGUGUGUCUGCCUUAUUUCUCCUGACCUUGGAAGCUAAGCAGGGUCAGGUCUGGUUAGUACUUGGAUGGAAGACUGCGUGAGAAUAUUGGUGCUAUAGUGU
Molecule: ribosomal RNA, 122 nt
Filed under: Microcebus murinus (gray mouse lemur)
Lineage: Eukaryota; Metazoa; Chordata; Mammalia; Primates; Cheirogaleidae
Source: RNAcentral